UAAUACGAAGGGGGCUAGCGUUGUUCGGAAUCACUGGGCGUAAAGGGCGCGUAGGCGGCCGAUCAAGUCGGGGGUGAAAGCCUGUGGCUCAACCACAGAAUGGCCUUCGAUACUGUUUGGCUUGAGACCGGAAGAGGUCAGUGGAACUGCGAGUGUAGAGGUGAAAUUCGUAGAUAUUCGCAAGAACACCAGUGGCGAAGGCGGCUGACUGGUCCGGUUCUGACGCUGAGGCGCGAAAGCGUGGGGAGCAAACAGGAUUAGAUACCCUGGUAGUCCACGCCGUAAACGAUGGAUGCUAGCCGUUGGCGAGCUUGCUCGUCAGUGGCGCAGCUAACGCUUUAAGCAUCCCGCCUGGGGAGUACGGUCGCAAGAUUA
RNAcentral lists this ribosomal RNA (375 nucleotides) under uncultured bacterium. RNAcentral describes it as "bacterial SSU rRNA". It matches the Rfam family "Bacterial small subunit ribosomal RNA", at positions 521 to 896 of the family's 1533-position model. The record is from RNAcentral.